Long non-coding RNA from Rhododendron vialii, 545 nucleotides. RefSeq lists it as uncharacterized. The transcript has 2 exons. NCBI's taxonomy places the organism in Eukaryota, Viridiplantae, Streptophyta, Magnoliopsida, Ericales, Ericaceae. The record is from RefSeq and is a predicted model, not a curated record.
CUCUCGUUCUCCCCACUCCCGAAACCCUCUCUUCGGCUCUCUCUCCCUCUCUUUUGCUCUCAACCAAAAACCCAUCAAAACAACAUGAAACCUACACAAACCCAUCUCCAUUUUAACUUCUAUAUGCAUUAUUGAGCCUUAAUUUCGUGGGUCAAGCUCGGGGAAGGAGGAACCGGCUGAUUUUGAAGUUUUGGAGGUUAGGGCUUUGUUUGAUCUCAUGAGUUCGGCUUUGAUACUUGAGGUACAAAUCAGAGGCUGUGACAUGGGUUGCUGUGCUUGCAUGUGAUCCUACAUUUUGAAAGCGACUUCAGAGAGUUAAUUUUGCAUCUCUUAUAAACUUUAUCUCCGGAUGAAGAAAUUGUAAUCUUAUUAUUAUUAUUAUUAUUAAAUUUUAUUUUUUUGUUAAAUGAAGGAUCCCUAUAAACUCUUAACUUUCUUUUAACGUGAUCUAGUGGUUUUAGGCCGUUGGGCCAAAGAUGUAAAUUUGGAAAUGCUUUGGAGUUUGGAGAUGAUUUGCGAACAAGGGGAUUAGAAAUGGCUUUUGG